RNAcentral lists this ribosomal RNA (253 nucleotides) under uncultured bacterium. Its description in RNAcentral is "partial 16S ribosomal RNA". It matches the Rfam family "Bacterial small subunit ribosomal RNA", at positions 524 to 776 of the family's 1533-position model. The record is from RNAcentral.
UACGGAGGGGGCGAGCGUUAUCCGGAUUCACUGGGUGUAAAGGGAGCGUAGACGGCCAUGCAAGCCAGGGGUGAAAGCCCGGGGCCCAACCCCGGGACUGCCCUUGGAACUGCAUGGCUGGAGUGCGGGAGGGGCAGGCGGAAUUCCUGGUGUAGCGGUGAAAUGCGUAGAUAUCAGGAGGAACGCCGGCGGCGAAGGCGGCCUGCUGGACCGCGACUGACGUUGAGGCUCGAAAGCGUGGGGAGCGAACAGG